This 115-nucleotide ribosomal RNA is filed under the name Morganella morganii subsp. morganii KT. The record is from RNAcentral. Lineage: Bacteria; Pseudomonadati; Pseudomonadota; Gammaproteobacteria; Enterobacterales; Morganellaceae.
AACCUGGCGGUUCCCUACUCUCACAUGGGGAGACCCCACACUACCAUCGGCGCUACGGCGUUUCACUUCUGAGUUCGGCAUGGGGUCAGGUGGGACCACCGCGCUACGGCCGCCA